This 299-nucleotide small nuclear RNA is filed under the name Carlito syrichta (Philippine tarsier). RNAcentral's name for it is "7SK RNA (ENSTSYG00000019718.2)". It matches the Rfam family "7SK RNA". Rfam says of the family: 7SK was discovered as an abundant small nuclear RNA in the mid-70s but a possible function has only recently been suggested. The record is from RNAcentral. Lineage: Eukaryota; Metazoa; Chordata; Mammalia; Primates; Tarsiidae.
GGAUGUGAGGGCGAUCUGGCUGUACCCCACUGAUCGCCAGAGUUGAUUUGGCUGAUCUGGCUAGCCAAGCAAGUGUCCCCUUCCUCCCUCACUGCUCUGUGGAUGUCCCUCUCAAAGCUGUGCACUUGGUCAAAGAGGACAGCCAUCCCAGCUAGAGGAAGACCAUUCUUUAGCCAAGCAUAUCCAAGUAGCUGUACACCCCUGCUAGAACCUCCAGACAGGCUCUCAAGAUUAGACAGAAUAAUCUAAUUAUAUCUGGUUCCAAGAAUUACAGAAGGUCCAGUUCUCAGUUCUUAUAU